This 253-nucleotide ribosomal RNA is filed under the name uncultured bacterium. RNAcentral's name for it is "partial 16S ribosomal RNA". It matches the Rfam family "Bacterial small subunit ribosomal RNA", at positions 524 to 776 of the family's 1533-position model. The record is from RNAcentral.
UACGUAGGUGGCAAGCGUUGUCCGGAUUUACUGGGCGUAAAGAGCGCGCAGGCGGUCGUUCAAGUCGAGUGUGAAAGCCCCCGGCUCAACUGGGGAGGGUCGUUCGAUACUGAUCGACUGGAAGGCAGGAGAGGGAAGCGGAAUUCCUGGUGUAGCGGUGAAAUGCGCAGAUAUCAGGAGGAACACCGAUGGCGAAGGCAGGUCUCUGGGCCACUACUGACGCUGAGAAGCGAAAGCAUGGGGAGCGAACAGG